CCCAGUUUAUAUGACUUAGUGGUUGAUGAUGUCUCUGUGGCAGGUUGCAUCUGACAGUUUAUGACUUUAGAGUCCAGUUUACGGUCAGUGAUGAGGUCCUGAAUGAGACGUCCCUUGUUUUUCAGUGAGCGGAUGUUAAGUAGAGCAAAGUUGAGUGCGGUGUUGUCACAGCUGGUGGUGGUGCUAGCCGACCGAGCUAGGCGGGCUAACAUGCUGUGGUCGACAGCCCUGCUGGUGGAGCAUGGAGGGCGACCAAUCCACCUUCGGAAGCUGGACCAGAUGGAUUUUAUUGCUGUUGAACCGUUGUGGUGGACAAUCCGGCGGGACCCUCGGUGGAUGUAUCUCCGGCGUGGCUGGAAGGUGAUGUCCGGGUGAAGGUGGAGUGCCUCGGGCGCAGGUCCAAGCGAGUGACAGCGGAGCCGGAGCAGGUCAGCGGCUGAACACUGCAGCAAACCCGCCACUUGCAGGUGAGCGGGCAGUAGGAAUAUCCAGACGCAGACAAGCAGAAUGUGUGUCCUGUUGGUCCACAUUAUUAAAAAACGCCAGGUGAGGCUGAAAACGGGGCAGGACAGGUGAGCUACCGAUAGUAGCCUAGUUGGGACUCACACAACCUGUAGUGCCGAUGAAUCGUGGCCGUAUUCUCAGUAAAAACAAUUGCACUGUCCGUUAAAAAGUUACCGGUGAGCGAAGGCAGCGGGCAACAAAUACAAAAAUACCGGCGAGCAGCGGCAGUAAGUCAUGCCAGCGUUCAUUUGUUUAAGUUAUGUCAGGGUUCUCUGUUUGGUUGGUGUUCUAACUCUGCUUCACAGGUGGUUCUAGUUGGCUGGGGGCGUGGCCCACACCUGCGGCUAGUUUGGAGCAGUGUUCACUGGCAUCUUAAGGAUGACUCAGACAGAUGGAAGACGCCAGAGCCUUACCCAGUCGGGUUUUUGUUUGGACUACUCACCCGCCUUGACGUCUCGCUCGACGGACCAGCUCCUAAGAAUUCCUGAAGCUCAGAUGUUGCUCUGGCGUUCUCCCUCUUACUCACUUGGUGAUACCAAGCCAGGCCUGAGGUUCCCUUCCCUGGAUUCCGCUGGUUUCUCCGCACUCUGGUUGCUCCAUCUGUCACUCCUGCCUGCCGUGGCUCGCUCCAGAUCCCUUGCCGACUUACCAUCAGUCCGCCUUCCAGCCGCUAACCACCAGCUAUCCACCGUGAGCAUUCGGUCUCAGAGUUCCCUCGUCACUACUUCCCCGGUUAGGUUUGCCCAACUAAAUGUUUCUCCAGCACUGACGUUCAGACCUUGACAGAUCCCAUCAUCAGAAUCGAUCUCUGUAGUCUGAAUCUAAAUAAAACAUCUUAAACUCUGCAUUGUCUUCCGUAUUGUGUCUGCAUGUGGGCAAAACAUCUAAGUUUUUAUAUGUUUGAAUGUAUGAAUCGUGGUUAAAUUAGCUUAACUAAUUCAGAACAACAUUUGACAUGUGUUUCAACCCAUUCACAAU
Fundulus heteroclitus (mummichog) is the source of this 1482-nucleotide long non-coding RNA. RefSeq lists it as uncharacterized. The transcript has 3 exons. The record is from RefSeq and is a predicted model, not a curated record. NCBI's taxonomy places the organism in Eukaryota, Metazoa, Chordata, Actinopteri, Cyprinodontiformes, Fundulidae.